Molecule: ribosomal RNA, 494 nt
Filed under: uncultured bacterium
Lineage: Bacteria
Description: partial 16S ribosomal RNA
Rfam family: Bacterial small subunit ribosomal RNA
Source: RNAcentral
GACGAACGCUGGCGGCGUGCCUAAUACAUGCAAGUAGAACGCUGAAGGAGGAGCUUGCUUCUCUGGAUGAGUUGCGAACGGGUGAGUAACGCGUAGGUAACCUGCCUGGUAGCGGGGGAUAACUAUUGGAAACGAUAGCUAAUACCGCAUAAUAGUAGAUGUUGCAUGACAUUUGCUUAAAGGUGCAAUUGCAUCACUACCAGAUGGACCUGCGUUGUAUUAGCUAGUUGGUGAGGUAACGGCUCACCAAGGCGACGAUACAUAGCCGACCUGAGAGGGUGAUCGGCCACACUGGGACUGAGACACGGCCCAGACUCCUACGGGAGGCAGCAGUAGGGAAUCUUCGGCAAUGGACGGAAGUCUGACCGAGCAACGCCGCGUGAGUGAAGAAGGUUUUCGGAUCGUAAAGCUCUGUUGUAAGAGAAGAACGAGUGUGAGAGUGGAAAGUUCACACUGUGACGGUAUCUUACCAGAAAGGGACGGCUAACUACGUG